RNAcentral lists this ribosomal RNA (120 nucleotides) under Nannospalax galili (Upper Galilee mountains blind mole rat). The record is from RNAcentral. Lineage: Eukaryota; Metazoa; Chordata; Mammalia; Rodentia; Spalacidae.
GUCUAUGGCCGUACUACCCUGAAUGCGCCUGAUCUCCUCUGAUUUUGGAAGCUAAGCAGGGUCGGGCCUGGUUAGCACUUGGAUGGGAGAUAUAUGGAUUAUUUUAGCACACAAUAUAUU